RNAcentral lists this ribosomal RNA (251 nucleotides) under uncultured bacterium. RNAcentral describes it as "partial 16S ribosomal RNA". It matches the Rfam family "Bacterial small subunit ribosomal RNA", at positions 524 to 774 of the family's 1533-position model. The record is from RNAcentral.
UACGUAGGUGGCGAGCGUUGUCCGGAAUUACUGGGUGUAAAGGGCGUGUAGGCGGGUAGAUAAGUCAGAUGUGAAAUACCGGGGCUCAACCCCGGGGCUGCAUUUGAAACUGUCAAUCUUGAGUGCCGGAGAGGAAAGCGGAAUUCCUAGUGUAGCGGUGAAAUGCGUAGAUAUUAGGAGGAACACCAGUGGCGAAGGCGGCUUUCUGGACGGUAACUGACGCUGAGGCGCGAAAGCGUGGGGAGCAAACA